AGCGCUAUUUAGGUUAGAGUUUGAUCCUGGCUCAGAACGAACGCUGGCGGCAUGCCUAACACAUGCAAGUCGAACGCCCCGCAAGGGGAGUGGCGGACGGGUGAGUAACACGUGGGAACCUGCCCAAUGGUCUGGAAUAACCGCGGGAAACUGCGGCUAAUACCGGAUAAGCCCGAGAGGGGAAAGAUUUAUCGCCGAUGGAGGGGCCCGCGUCCGAUUAGGUAGUUGGUGGGGUAAUGGCCUACCAAGCCUACGAUCGGUAGCUGGUCUGAGAGGAUGAUCAGCCACACUGGGACUGAGAUACGGCCCAGACUCCUACGGGAGGCAGCAGUGGGGAAUAUUGGACAAUGGGGGCAACCCUGAUCCAGCAAUGCCGCGUGAGUGAUGAAGGCCUUAGGGUUGUAAAGCUCUUUUGGCGGGGACGAUAAUGACGGUACCCGCAGAAUAAGCCCCGGCUAACUUCGUGCCAGCAGCCGCGGUAAUCGCC
Molecule: ribosomal RNA, 487 nt
Filed under: uncultured bacterium
Lineage: Bacteria
Description: bacterial SSU rRNA
Rfam family: Bacterial small subunit ribosomal RNA
Source: RNAcentral